GUGAGGAAUAUUGGUCAAUGGGCGAGAGCCUGAACCAGCCAAGUCGCGUGAAGGAUGAAGGUUUUAUGAAUUGUAAACUUCUUUUGCAGGGGAAUAAAGUACGGUACGUGUACCGUUUUGUAUGUACUCUGCGAAUAAGGAUCGGCUAACUCCGUGCCAGCAGCCGCGGUAAUACGGAGGAUCCAAGCGUUAUCCGGAUUUAUUGGGUUUAAAGGGUGCGCAGGCGGGUUGAUAAGUCAGCGGUGAAAGUUUGCAGCUUAACUGUAAAAUUGCCGUUGAAACUGUCGAUCUUGAGUGCAAAUGAGGUAAGCGGAAUGUGUUGUGUAGCGGUGAAAUGCUUAGAUAUCACGAAGAACUCCGAUUGCGAAGGCAGCCUACCAGGAUGUAACUGACGCUAAAGCUCGAAAGUGCGGGUAUCGAACAGGAUUAGAUACCCUAGUUAGUCC
This 446-nucleotide ribosomal RNA is filed under the name uncultured bacterium. RNAcentral describes it as "partial 16S ribosomal RNA". It matches the Rfam family "Bacterial small subunit ribosomal RNA", at positions 354 to 796 of the family's 1533-position model. The record is from RNAcentral.